RNAcentral lists this transfer RNA (90 nucleotides) under Psychrobacillus psychrodurans. RNAcentral describes it as "tRNA_Ser_TGA". It matches the Rfam family "tRNA". From Rfam's summary of the family: Transfer RNA (tRNA) molecules are approximately 80 nucleotides in length. Their secondary structure includes four short double-helical elements and three loops (D, anti-codon, and T loops). The record is from RNAcentral. Lineage: Bacteria; Bacillati; Bacillota; Bacilli; Caryophanales; Bacillaceae.
GGAGGAAUACCCAAGUCCGGCUGAAGGGAUCGGUCUUGAAAACCGACAGGCGGGUCAUACCGCGCGGGGGUUCGAAUCCCUCUUCCUCCU